CUACGGGUUGCUGCAGUGGGGAAUAUUGGACAAUGGGGGAAACCCUGAUCCAGCAAUGCCGCGUGUGUGAAGAAGGCCUGCGGGUUGUAAAGCACUUUCGGUUGGGAGGACUGCUUCUAGCACUAAUAUUGUUGGAAGUUGACGUUACCUUCAGAAGAAGCACCGGCUAACUCCGUGCCAGCAGCCGCGGUAAUACGGAGGGUGCAAGCGUUAAUCGGAAUUACUGGGCGUAAAGCGCGCGUAGGCGGCUAGAUCAGUCGGGUGUGAAAGCCCCGGGCUUAACCUGGGAACUGCAUCCGAUACUGUCUAGCUCGAGUACAGGAGAGGAGAGUGGAAUUCCACAUGUAGCGGUGAAAUGCGUAGAUAUGUGGAGGAACACCAAUGGCGAAGGCAGCUUUCUGGCCUGAUACUGACGCUGAGGCGCGAAAGCGUGGGGAGCAAACAGGAUUAGAUACCCGUGUAGUC
RNAcentral lists this ribosomal RNA (465 nucleotides) under uncultured bacterium. Its description in RNAcentral is "partial 16S ribosomal RNA". It matches the Rfam family "Bacterial small subunit ribosomal RNA", at positions 339 to 795 of the family's 1533-position model. The record is from RNAcentral.